RNAcentral lists this ribosomal RNA (2031 nucleotides) under Enterococcus faecalis. RNAcentral describes it as "partial 23S ribosomal RNA". It matches the Rfam family "Bacterial large subunit ribosomal RNA", at positions 1 to 2031 of the family's 2925-position model. The record is from RNAcentral. Lineage: Bacteria; Bacillati; Bacillota; Bacilli; Lactobacillales; Enterococcaceae.
GAUUAAGUUAUUAAGGGCGCACGGUGGAUGCCUUGGCACUAGAAGCCGACGAAGGACGUUACUAACGACGAUAUGCUUUGGGUAGCUGUAAGUAAGCGUUGAUCCAGAGAUUUCCGAAUGGGGGAACCCAGCACGAGUUAUGUCGUGUUAUCGACAAGUGAAUUCAUAGCUUGUCAGAAGGCAGACCCGGAGAACUGAAACAUCUUAGUACCCGGAGGAAGAGAAAGAAAAAUCGAUUCCCUGAGUAGCGGCGAGCGAAACGGGAAGAGCCCAAACCAAUAAGCUUGCUUAUUGGGGUUGUAGGACACUCUAUACGGAGUUACAAAGGAAUAUAUUAGACGAAUCAUCUGGAAAGUUGAAUCAAAGAAGGUAAUAAUCCUGUAGUUGAAAAUAUAUUCUCUCUUGAGUGGAUCCUGAGUACGACGGAGCACGUGAAAUUCCGUCGGAAUCUGGGAGGACCAUCUCCUAAGGCUAAAUACUCUCUAGUGACCGAUAGUGAACCAGUACCGUGAGGGAAAGGUGAAAAGUACCCCGGAAGGGGAGUGAAAGAGAACUUGAAACCGUGUGCUUACAAGUAGUCAGAGCCCGUUAAUGGGUGAUGGCGUGCCUUUUGUAGAAUGAACCGGCGAGUUACGAUCUGAUGCAAGGUUAAGCAGGAGAUGUGGAGCCGUAGCGAAAGCGAGUCUGAAUAGGGCGUUGAGUAUUUGGUCGUAGACCCGAAACCAGGUGAUCUACCCAUGGUCAGGUUGAAGUUCAGGUAACACUGAAUGGAGGACCGAACCGACUUACGUUGAAAAGUGAGCGGAUGAACUGUGGGUAGCGGAGAAAUUCCAAUCGAACUUGGAGAUAGCUGGUUCUCUCCGAAAUAGCUUUAGGGCUAGCCUCAAGUGAUGAUUAUUGGAGGUAGAGCACUGUUUGGACGAGGGGCCCCUCUCGGGUUACCGAAUUCAGACAAACUCCGAAUGCCAAUUAAUUUAACUUGGGAGUCAGAACAUGGGUGAUAAGGUCCGUGUUCGAAAGGGAAACAGCCCAGACCACCAGCUAAGGUCCCAAAAUAUAUGUUAAGUGGAAAAGGAUGUGGCGUUGCCCAGACAACUAGGAUGUUGGCUUAGAAGCAGCCAUCAUUUAAAGAGUGCGUAAUAGCUCACUAGUCGAGUGACACUGCGCCGAAAAUGUACCGGGGCUAAACAUAUUACCGAAGCUGUGGAUUGUCCGUAGGACAAUGGUAGGAGAGCGUUCUAAGGGCGUUGAAGCAUGAUCGCAAGGACAUGUGGAGCGCUUAGAAGUGAGAAUGCCGGUGUGAGUAGCGAAAGACGGGUGAGAAUCCCGUCCACCGAUUGACUAAGGUUUCCAGAGGAAGGCUCGUCCGCUCUGGGUUAGUCGGGUCCUAAGCUGAGGCCGACAGGCGUAGGCGAUGGAUAACAGGUUGAUAUUCCUGUACCACCUAGCAUCGUUUUAAUCGAUGGGGGGACGCAGUAGGAUAGGCGAAGCGUACGAUUGGAUUGUACGUCUAAGCAGUGAGAUUGAGUGUUAGGCAAAUCCGGCACUCUUAAGAUUGAGCUGUGAUGGGGAGAGGAAAUUGUUUCCUCGAGUCGUUGAUUUCACACUGCCGAGAAAAGCCUCUAGAUAGAUAAUAGGUGCCCGUACCGCAAACCGACACAGGUAGUCAAGAUGAGAAUUCUAAGGUGAGCGAGCGAACUCUCGUUAAGGAACUCGGCAAAAUGACCCCGUAACUUCGGGAGAAGGGGUGCUCUUUAGGGUGCAAGCCCAGAAGAGCCGCAGUGAAUAGGCCCAAGCGACUGUUUAUCAAAAACACAGGUCUCUGCUAAACCGUAAGGUGAUGUAUAGGGGCUGACGCCUGCCCGGUGCUGGAAGGUUAAGAGGAGUGGUUAGCUUCUGCGAAGCUACGAAUCGAAGCCCCAGUAAACGGCGGCCGUAACUAUAACGGUCCUAAGGUAGCGAAAUUCCUUGUCGGGUAAGUUCCGACCCGCACGAAAGGCGUAACGAUUUGGGCACUGUCUCAACGAGAGA